RNAcentral lists this ribosomal RNA (133 nucleotides) under Acinetobacter baumannii. RNAcentral describes it as "partial 16S ribosomal RNA". It matches the Rfam family "Bacterial small subunit ribosomal RNA", at positions 1 to 131 of the family's 1533-position model. The record is from RNAcentral. Lineage: Bacteria; Pseudomonadati; Pseudomonadota; Gammaproteobacteria; Moraxellales; Moraxellaceae.
UUUAACUGAAGAGUUUGAUCAUGGCUCAGAUUGAACGCUGGCGGCAGGCUUAACACAUGCAAGUCGAGCGGGGGAAGGUAGCUUGCUACUGGACCUAGCGGCGGACGGGUGAGUAAUGCUUAGGAAUCUGCCU